GAGGCCUACCAUGGUGGUAACGGGUAACGGGGUGUUAGGGCACGACACCGGAGAGGGAGCCUGUGAAACGGCUACCACAUCCAAGGAUGGCAGCAGGCGCGCAAAUUACCCAAUCCCGACACGGGGAGGUAGUGACAAUAAAUAACAAUACGGGGUUCUUUAGGAUCUCGUAAUUGGAAUGAGUACAAUUUAAAUCUCUUAACGAGGAACAAUUGGAGGGCAAGUCUGGUGCCAGCAGCCGCGGUAAUUCCAGCUCCAAUAGCGUAUAUUAAAGUUGUUGCAGUUAAAAAGCUCGUAGUUGAAUUUCGGGGUUAGUAGGUUGGUCAUGCCUCUGGUAUGUACUGGUCUCACUGAUUCCUCCUUCCUUAUGAACCGUAAUGCCAUUAAUUUGGUGUUGCGGGGAAUUUGGACUGUUACUUUGAAAAAAUUAGAGUGUUUAAAGCAAGCUAACGCUUGAAUACAUUAGCAUGGAAUAAUGAAAUAGGACGUUCGAUCUUAUUUUGUUGGUUUCUAGGAUUGACGUAAUGAUUAAUAGGGAUAGUUGGGGGCAUUAGUAUUCAAUUGUCAGAGGUGAAAUUCUUGGAUUUAUUGAAGACUAACUACUGCGAAAGCAUUUGCCAAGGAUGUUUUCAUUAAUCAAGAACGAAAGUUAGGGGAUCGAAGACGAUCAGAUACCGUCGUAGUCUUAACCAUAAACUAUGCCGACUAGGGAUCGGAUGA
Molecule: ribosomal RNA, 720 nt
Filed under: uncultured fungus
Lineage: Eukaryota; Fungi
Description: SSU rRNA
Rfam family: Eukaryotic small subunit ribosomal RNA
Source: RNAcentral